Molecule: non-coding RNA, 76 nt
Organism: Podarcis lilfordi (Lilford's wall lizard)
Lineage: Eukaryota; Metazoa; Chordata; Lepidosauria; Squamata; Lacertidae
Source: the annotation of a GenBank genome assembly
UUUUAAGUUCAGUCGUCGGUAAAGCAUGAGACUCUUUAUCUCAGGGUUGUGGAUUCAAGCCUCACAUUGGGCAAAA